Molecule: long non-coding RNA, 390 nt
Organism: Jaculus jaculus (lesser Egyptian jerboa)
Lineage: Eukaryota; Metazoa; Chordata; Mammalia; Rodentia; Dipodidae
Exons: 3
Source: RefSeq, a predicted model, not a curated record
GCCCUGGCAACCGGAGGCAGUGAAACAGAAUCUGUCAGAUGGAAAAUGUCAGUUACAGCGAGUGAGGAGAGGGGAGGCUGUGGGCUCAGCCUCCUGCCCACCCUGCCCUUGCCCUUGCCCCAGGGGAGGCUGCUCCUUGAAGGAGAAAGACCUGGCCCUAGGGUGGGAGAGGCGAGGACCAGGAAGAGGAAACAAAGGAGGGUCAAACACUUGCCUGCUGCGAUGCCGUGCAGAGAAGCCUUCAGCAAAGGAGCUGGGACAACCUCAAAAAUAAGUGAUCACUGGGCUGGAGAGAUGGCUUAGUGGUUAAGCGCUUGCCUGUGAAGCCUAAGGACUCCGGUUCCAGGCUUGAUUCCCCAGGACCCACGUUAGCCAGAUGCACAAGGGGGC